This 60-nucleotide non-coding RNA is filed under the name Homo sapiens (human). The record is from RNAcentral. Lineage: Eukaryota; Metazoa; Chordata; Mammalia; Primates; Hominidae.
UCACGCCUGUAAUCCCAGUGCUUUGGGAGGCCAAGGCAGGUGGAUCACGAGGUCAGGAGU